Acanthosepion pharaonis is the source of this 92-nucleotide non-coding RNA. Lineage: Eukaryota; Metazoa; Mollusca; Cephalopoda; Sepiida; Sepiidae. The record is from the annotation of a GenBank genome assembly.
GCUAAGUUGAAAUACCAGAUCCCAUAUGAUCACUGAAGUUAAGCAAUAUCGAGACUGGUCAGUACCUAGAUGGGUGUCCACUUGGGAAUACU